CAAAAACGAUUCCUGCCUUGAGGAACUCAUGAGCUAAUGGGGGAGACAACGAGCAAACAAAUAUGUACAAAAAUAUAUGUACAUAGGACAAAUAGGAAAUAAUCAGCAGAGAAAAAGCACUGUAAUUAAGAGGAGACAGAACAAGGAACAAUACAUCAAAUUCAAAAGAAGCAGUUUUAUAAUAGAAGGAGGAGAAAAAGGCAGAAAGAGGUCACAGUGGAAAGAGCAAGGAGUCUGGAGCUGGUAA
RNAcentral lists this long non-coding RNA (247 nucleotides) under Monodelphis domestica (gray short-tailed opossum). Its description in RNAcentral is "lncRNA (ENSMODG00000046791.1)". The record is from RNAcentral. Lineage: Eukaryota; Metazoa; Chordata; Mammalia; Didelphimorphia; Didelphidae.